RNAcentral lists this ribosomal RNA (301 nucleotides) under uncultured bacterium. RNAcentral describes it as "partial 16S ribosomal RNA". It matches the Rfam family "Bacterial small subunit ribosomal RNA", at positions 509 to 807 of the family's 1533-position model. The record is from RNAcentral.
CAGCCGCCGCGGGAAUACGGAGGGUGCAAGCGUUACUCGGAAUUACUGGGCGUAAAGCGUGCGUAGGUGGUGGUUUAAGUCCGUUGUGAAAGCCCUGGGCUCAACCUGGGAAUUGCAGUGGAUACUGGGUCACUAGAGUGUGGUAGAGGAUAGUGGAAUUUCCGGUGUAGCAGUGAAAUGCGUAGAGAUCGGAAGGAACAUCUGUGGCGAAGGCGACUAUCUGGGCCAACACUGACACUGAGGCACGAAAGCGUGGGGAGCAAACAGGAUUAGAUACCCGCGUAGUCCCUGUCUCUUAUAC